This 753-nucleotide ribosomal RNA is filed under the name uncultured bacterium. RNAcentral describes it as "bacterial SSU rRNA". It matches the Rfam family "Bacterial small subunit ribosomal RNA", at positions 578 to 1334 of the family's 1533-position model. The record is from RNAcentral.
GUUUGUUACGUCGGAUGUGAAAACCUGAGGCUCAACCUCAGGCCUGCAUUCGAUACGGGCAAACUAGAGUUUGGUAGGGGAGACUGGAAUUCCUGGUGUAGCGGUGGAAUGCGCAGAUAUCAGGAGGAACACCAAUGGCGAAGGCAGGUCUCUGGGCCAAUACUGACACUGAGGAGCGAAAGUCUGGGGAGCAAACAGGAUUAGAUACCCUGGUAGUCCAGACCGUAAACGGUGGGCACUAGUUGUGGGAACCUUCCACGGUUUCUGCGACGCAGCUAACGCAUUAAGUGCCCCGCCUGGGGAGUACGAUCGCAAGAUUAAAACUCAAAGGAAUUGACGGGGCCCCGCACAAGCAGCGGAGCAUGCGGCUUAAUUCGACGCAACGCGAAGAACCUUACCAAGGCUUGACAUAUAGGGAAAAGUGGCAGAGAUGUCAUGUCCGCAAGGGCUCUAUACAGGUGGUGCAUGGUUGUCGUCAGCUCGUGUCGUGAGAUGUUGGGUUAAGUCCCGCAACGAGCGCAACCCUCGUUCUGUGUUGCCAGCAUUUAGUUGGGGACUCACAGGAGACUGCCGGGGUUAACUCGGAGGGAGGUGGGGAUGACGUCAAAUCAUCAUGCCCCUUAUGUCUUGGGCUGCACGCAUGCUACAAUGGCCGGUACAGAGGGCUGCAAUACCGCAAGGUGGAGCGAAUCCCAAAAAGCCGGUCUCAGUUCGGAUUGAGGUCUGCAACUCGACCUCAUGAAGUUGGAGUUG